CACGAAAACUUGAGGUGUGAACGGGAUUAGAUACCCCAUUAGUUCACGUAAUAAAUUAUGGCUUAUUGUGGUUUGAGAUUGUAUUUAACAAUUGAAGGAUGUAAACCUAAGAAGUAUGCUUUCAUAAGUGAAACUUAAAUGUUUUGGUGGUGAUUUAGAACAAUGGUGGAACAUAUGAUUUAAUUCGAUGUUAUGCGAUAAAGCUUAUCAAUUUUUGUUUUCUUUCCAUACCUUUUAGAAGGUAGAACUCUAUUCUCGGUAGUGCAUGGCUGUUUUUGAAGGUAAUGUUUUGUAAUAUCUGGUUCAGUUCAGUAAUAAUCGACACACUAAUUGUAUAUAAAUUUUAUCUUUCUUUCACUUGGGGGACAGGCAUCUGUGAUUUUAUUUGUCAUUUGAUGUGCGCCAAUUUUAUGUUUUCUGCAUUUGGUACAGGCAUCUGUGAUUUUCAGAUUGAGUAACGUCGAGUCAUUAUGCUCUCAUUUUUGGAGAUAUUCAUGUGUUACAAAGAAAGUUAUAGGUUUCCUUUGAAAAUAGGAUUCUCAACAAUUAUCGUUCUAAUUGAAAAUUGAAAUGUUUUGAUGAAGGAGGAAUUAUUAGGAAUCAUUGGUUAGUUAUUCAAUGGUGGACAGGAUAUAAGUUUUGUACAUACCGCCCGUCAAGCAAAAAGCAGAGUUGAAUAUGAAAAUGGCAUAAAAUAAAAGCUAUUUUUUGUGCUUUCUAAUUUGUGUUAAGUCGAAAACAUGGUUGCCAAUAAGGAAUUAUUGGCAGGA
This 770-nucleotide ribosomal RNA is filed under the name Lingulaulax polyedra. RNAcentral's name for it is "Lingulodinium polyedra partial 16S ribosomal RNA". It matches the Rfam family "Bacterial small subunit ribosomal RNA", at positions 752 to 1522 of the family's 1533-position model. Lineage: Eukaryota; Dinophyceae; Gonyaulacales; Lingulodiniaceae. The record is from RNAcentral.